This 847-nucleotide ribosomal RNA is filed under the name uncultured bacterium. RNAcentral's name for it is "bacterial SSU rRNA". It matches the Rfam family "Bacterial small subunit ribosomal RNA", at positions 48 to 886 of the family's 1533-position model. The record is from RNAcentral.
UUAACACAUGCAAGUCGAACGGUAACAUUGGAGCUUGCUCCAGAUGACGAGUGGCGGACGGGUGAGUAAUGCAUAGGAAAUUGCCGAUUAGUGGGGGACAACAUGUGGAAACGCAUGCUAAUACCGCAUACGCCCUACGGGGGAAAGGUGGCCAAUCCUUGGAAGCUACCGCUAAUUGAUGUGCCUAUGUCUGAUUAGCUAGUUGGUGGGGUAAUGGCCCACCAAGGCGACGAUCAGUAGCUGGUCUGAGAGGAUGAUCAGCCACACUGGGACUGAGACACGGCCCAGACUCCUACGGGAGGCAGCAGUGGGGAAUAUUGGACAAUGGGGGCAACCCUGAUCCAGCAAUACCGCGUGUGUGAAGAAGGCUCGAGGGUCGUAAAGCACUUUCAAUAGUGAAGAUUGGAAUACAGGUUAAUACCCUGUGUUUUUGACGUUAACUAUACAAGAAGCACCGGCUAACUCAGUGCCAGCAGCCGCGGUAAUACUGAGGGUGCAAGCGUUAAUCGGAAUUACUGGGCGUAAAGCGCGCGUAGGCGGUAAGUUAAGUUGGAUGUGAAAUCCCUGGGCUCAACCUAGGAACUGCAUUCAAAACUGGCUCACUAGAGUAUGGUAGAGGUAAGUGGAAUUCCAGGUGUAGCGGUGAAAUGCGUAGAUAUCUGGAGGAACAUCAGUGGCGAAGGCGACUUACUGGGCCAAUACUGACGCUGAGGUGCGAAAGCAUGGGUAGCAAACGGGAUUAGAUACCCCGGUAGUCCAUGCCGUAAACGAUGUCAACUAGCCGUUGGGCCCGUUAGGGUUUAGUGGCGCAGCUAACGCAUUAAGUUGACCGCCUGGGGAGUACGCC